RNAcentral lists this ribosomal RNA (423 nucleotides) under Triticum aestivum (bread wheat). RNAcentral describes it as "partial small subunit ribosomal RNA". Lineage: Eukaryota; Viridiplantae; Streptophyta; Magnoliopsida; Poales; Poaceae. The record is from RNAcentral.
AUGACGACCAUGAUGCCGGCCGUGCGUCCGAGCGCCUGUGGUCUGUACAUCGAUGACCUGCCCUUUUCUCAUUUUCUGGUCACCGAAGAGUUCGAUCGAUCAGAAACAUGGAAGGGCGAGAGUAGUCAUGUUCCUGCCCUGUGUGUGUUUUCUUUGCGCGAAAAUACCGGGCCAUACCAACCUGCUUCUUCCCCCCUCUGCGCUAGCUCCAAGAUGCAUGUCUCGUCCUGGUGGAUUAACCGCGACCUCGACCACUUCGAUCCGCCGAUGCUGGGCACCGCUACCAAGAACCACCAAUCAGUCCUUGUUUGUGUCCAUGGUGAAGACGAAGUCGCAGAAUGCAGAUCUUGGCUAACCCACCGACCACGCACACAUGCGUUGGCGCGGCGCUUCGGGCGUGGCCCGACUUGUGCAGCGCGCUGA